GAUGAACGCUGGCGGCGUGCCUAAUACAUGCAAGUCGAACGGGGUGUUUGAGCAAUCGAAUACUUAGUGGCGAACGGGUGAGUAACGCGUUGGUGACCUGCCCCGAAGCGGGGGAUAACAGUCCGAAAGGAUUGCUAAUACCCCAUGUGGUCUUUUGGAUUAGAUGCCAGAUGACUAAAGGAGUAAUUCACUUCGGGAGGGGCCUGCGUCCCAUCAGCUAGUUGGUAGGGUAACGGCCUACCAAGGCGAUGACGGGUAGGGGACCUGAGAGGGUGACCCCCCACACUGACACUGAAAUACGGGUCAGACACCUACGGGAGGCAG
This 324-nucleotide ribosomal RNA is filed under the name uncultured Chloroflexota bacterium. Its description in RNAcentral is "bacterial SSU rRNA". It matches the Rfam family "Bacterial small subunit ribosomal RNA", at positions 28 to 351 of the family's 1533-position model. The record is from RNAcentral. Lineage: Bacteria; Bacillati; Chloroflexota.